UACGUAGGAUGCAAGCGUUGUCCGGAAUUAUUGGGCGUAAAGCGAACGUAGGCGGUUUCUUAAGAUUGGUCUUAAAGACCGGGGCUCAACCCCGGGAAUGGAUCGAUAACUGGGAGACUGGAGGACGUCAGAGGAAAGUGGAAUUCCGAGUGUAGCGGUGAAAUGCGUAGAUAUUCGGAGGAACACCAGUGGCGAAGGCGGCUCACUGGCCCGAUACUGACGCUGAGGCACGAAAGCGUGGGGAGCAAACAGGG
This 254-nucleotide ribosomal RNA is filed under the name uncultured bacterium. Its description in RNAcentral is "partial 16S ribosomal RNA". It matches the Rfam family "Bacterial small subunit ribosomal RNA", at positions 524 to 777 of the family's 1533-position model. The record is from RNAcentral.